UGUACUGUUUGACCCUCCUCUCUAUAUUCAAAGAUACCGACUAGUCUUGGAUAUAGUAGAGAAGGAAGAAAAGGAAUAUGGAAUUUUUAAGUCGUUUGUUGAUCUUGGCUGCAGUGAGUGUAAGUUUCUCAGGUAUUUCCGUCA
Eurytemora carolleeae is the source of this 144-nucleotide long non-coding RNA. RefSeq lists it as uncharacterized. The transcript is spliced from 4 exons. The record is from RefSeq and is a predicted model, not a curated record. Lineage: Eukaryota; Metazoa; Arthropoda; Copepoda; Calanoida; Temoridae.